GUGGAUUAGUGGCGAACGGGUGAGUAACACGUGAGUAACCUGCCCUUGACUCUAGGAUAAGCCCGGGAAACUGGGUCUAAUACUGGAUAGGAACGUCUACCGCAUGGUGGGUGUUGGAAAGAAUUUCGGUCAUGGAUGGACUCGCGGCCUAUCAGCUUGUUGGUGAGGUAAUGGCUCACCAAGGCGACGACGGGUAGCCGGCCUGAGAGGGUGACCGGCCACACUGGGACUGAGACACGGCCCAGACUCCUACGGGAGGCAGCAGUGGGGAAUAUUGCACAAUGGGCGAAAGCCUGAUGCAGCGACGCCGCGUGAGGGAUGACGGCCUUCGGGUUGUAAACCUCUUUCAGUAGGGAAGAAGCGAAAGUGACGGUACCUGCAGAAGAAGCACCGGCUAACUACGUGCCAGCAGCCGCGGUAAUACGUAGGGUGCGAGCGUUAUCCGGAAUUAUUGGGCGUAAAGAGCUCGUAGGCGGUUUGUCGCGUCUGUCGUGAAAGUCCGGGGCUUAACCCCGGAUCUGCGGUGGGUA
This 530-nucleotide ribosomal RNA is filed under the name Micrococcus antarcticus. Its description in RNAcentral is "bacterial SSU rRNA". It matches the Rfam family "Bacterial small subunit ribosomal RNA", at positions 87 to 632 of the family's 1533-position model. The record is from RNAcentral. Lineage: Bacteria; Bacillati; Actinomycetota; Actinomycetes; Micrococcales; Micrococcaceae.